This 419-nucleotide ribosomal RNA is filed under the name uncultured prokaryote. RNAcentral's name for it is "bacterial SSU rRNA". It matches the Rfam family "Bacterial small subunit ribosomal RNA", at positions 355 to 774 of the family's 1533-position model. The record is from RNAcentral.
UGAGGAAUAUUGCUCAAUGGCCGCAAGGCUGAAGCAGCAACGCCGCGUGAGGGAUGAAGGAUCUAUGGUCUGUAAACCUCUGUAGAGAAGGAAAAAUAACCCAUUAUAUGGGCUUGAUAGUACUUCUAGAGUAAGCCCCGGCUAACUACGUGCCAGCAGCCGCGGUAAUACGUAGGGGGCGAGCGUUGUCCGGAAUCACUGGGUGUAAAGGGUGCUCAGGCGGGUCGGUAAGUCAGAGGUGAAAUUUCACAGCUUAACUGGGAAUGUGCUUUUGAUACUGUCGGUCUAGAGUGCAGAAGAGGGCAAUGGAAUUCUUGGUGGAGCGGUAAAAUGCAUAGAUAUCAAGAAGAACACCAGUUGCGAAGGCGGCUGCCUGGUCUGUAACUGACGCUCAAGCACGAAAGCGUGGGGAUCAAACA